Molecule: ribosomal RNA, 67 nt
Organism: Colletotrichum chlorophyti
Lineage: Eukaryota; Fungi; Ascomycota; Sordariomycetes; Glomerellales; Glomerellaceae
Rfam family: 5.8S ribosomal RNA
About the family: 5.8S ribosomal RNA (5.8S rRNA) is a component of the large subunit of the eukaryotic ribosome. It is transcribed by RNA polymerase I as part of the 45S precursor that also contains 18S and 28S rRNA. Functionally, it is thought that 5.8S rRNA may be involved in ribosome translocation.
Source: Rfam
AACUUUUAACAACGGAUCUCUUGGUUCUGGCAUCGAUGAAGAACGCAGCGAAAUGCGAUAAGUAAUG